GAUGAACGCUGGCGGCGUGCCUAAUACAUGCAAGUCGAGCGAACAGAUGAGGAGCUUGCUCCUCUGACGUUAGCGGCGGACGGGUGAGUAACACGUGGAUAACCUACCUAUAAGACUGGGAUAACUUCGGGAAACCGGAGCUAAUACCGGAUAAUAUAUUGAACCGCAUGGUUCAAUAGUGAAAGACGGUUUUGCUGUCACUUAUAGAUGUAUCCGCGCCGCAUUAGCUAGUUGGUAAGGUAACGGCUUACCAAGGCAACGAUGCGUAGCCGACCUGAGAGGGUGAUCGGCCACACUGGAACUGAGACACGGUCCAGACUCCUACGGGAGGCAGAAGUAGGGAAUCUUCCGCAAUGGGCGAAAGCCUGACGGAGCAACGCCGCGUGAGUGAUGAAGGUCUUCGGAUCGUAAAACUCUGUUAUUAGGGAAGAACAAAUGUGUAAGUAACUAUGCACGUCUUGACGGUACCUAAUCAGAAAGCCACGGCUAACUACGUG
Molecule: ribosomal RNA, 497 nt
Filed under: uncultured bacterium
Lineage: Bacteria
Description: partial 16S ribosomal RNA
Rfam family: Bacterial small subunit ribosomal RNA
Source: RNAcentral